This 397-nucleotide ribosomal RNA is filed under the name uncultured bacterium. RNAcentral's name for it is "partial 16S ribosomal RNA". It matches the Rfam family "Bacterial small subunit ribosomal RNA", at positions 523 to 918 of the family's 1533-position model. The record is from RNAcentral.
AUACGUAGGUGACAAGCGUUAUCCGGAUUUACUGGGCGUAAAGGGCGUGUAGGCGGUCUUGCAAGUCAGAAGUGAAAUUCCUGAGCUCAACUCGGGCGCUGCUUCUGAAACUGCAGGACUUGAGUACUGGAGAGGAUAGUGGAAUUCCUAGUGUAGCGGUAAAAUGCGUAGAUAUUCGGAGGAACACCAGUGGCGAAGGCGGCUAUCUGGACAGUAACUGACGCUGAGGCGCGAAAGCGUGGGGAGCAAACAGGAUUAGAUACCCUGGUAGUCGACGCCGUAAACGAUGAAUACUAGGUGUAGGGGGUAUCGACUCCCUCUGUGCCGCAGUUAACACAAUAAGUAUUCCGCCUGGGGAGUACGGCCGCAAGGUUGAAACUCAAAUGAAUUGACGGGG